This 395-nucleotide ribosomal RNA is filed under the name uncultured bacterium. Its description in RNAcentral is "bacterial SSU rRNA". It matches the Rfam family "Bacterial small subunit ribosomal RNA", at positions 505 to 898 of the family's 1533-position model. The record is from RNAcentral.
GUGUCAGCCGCCGCGGUAAUACGUAGGGGGCAAGCGUUGUCCGGAUUUAUUGGGCGUAAAGCGCUCGCAGGUGGUUCGAUGCGUCGUGCGUGAAAGCCCCCGGCUCAACUGGGGAGUGUCGUGCGAUACGGUCGGACUGGAGGCCAGUAGGGGGAUGCGGAAUUCCGGGUGUAGUGGUGGAAUGCGUAGAGAUCCGGAGGAACACCAGCGGCGAAGGCGGCAUCCUGGACUGGUCCUGACACUCAUGAGCGAAAGCGUGGGGAGCGAUCCGGAUUAGAUACCCGGGUAGUCCACGCUGUAAACGAUGUGCACUAGGUGUCGGGGGUAUCGACCCCCUCGGUGCCGCAGCCAACGCGAUAAGUGCACCGCCUGGGGACUACGGCCGCAAGGCUAAA